UNUGACUUGAGUGCAGAAGGGGAGAGUGGAAUUCCAUGUGUAGCGGUGAAAUGCGUAGAUAUAUGGAGGAACACCAGUGGCGAAAGCGGCUCUCUGGUCUGUCACUGACGCUGAGGCUCGAAAGCGUGGGUAGCGAACAGGAUUAGAUACCCUGGUAGUNCACGCCGUAAACGAUGAGUGCUAGGUGUUAGGCCCUUUCCGGGGCUUAGUGCCGGAGCUAACGCAAUAAGCACUCCGCCUGGGGAGUACGACCGCAAGGUUGAAACUCAAAGGAAAUGACGGGGGCCCGCACAAGCGGUGGAGCAUGUGGUUUAAUUCGAAGCAACGCGAAGAACCUUACCAGGUCUUGACAUCCCGAUGCUAUUCUUAGAGAUAGGAAGUUACUUCGGUACAUCGGAGACAGGUGGUGCAUGGUUGUCGUCAGCUCGUGUCGUGAGAUGUUGGGUUAAGUCCCGCAACGAGCGCAACCCUUAUUGUUAGUUGCCAUCAUUAAGUUGGGCACUCUAGCGAGACUGCCGGUAAUAAACCGGAGGAAGGUGGGGAUGACGUCAAAUCAUCAUGCCCCUUAUGGCCUGGGCUACACACGUGCUACAAUGGUCGGUACAACGAGUUGCGAGCCGGUGACGGCAAGCUAAUCUCUGAAAGCCGAUCUCAGUUCGGAUUGGAGGCUGCAACUCGCCUCCAUGAAGUCGGAAUCGCUAGUAAUCGCGGAUCAGCACGCCGCGGUGAAUACGUUCCCGGGCCUUGUACACACCGCCCGUCACACCACGAGAGUUUGUAACACCCGAAGUCGGUGAGGUAACCUUUUAGGGGCCAGCCG
RNAcentral lists this ribosomal RNA (820 nucleotides) under uncultured bacterium. RNAcentral's name for it is "bacterial SSU rRNA". It matches the Rfam family "Bacterial small subunit ribosomal RNA", at positions 636 to 1455 of the family's 1533-position model. The record is from RNAcentral.